UGGAUAGCUCAGUUGGUAGAGCAUGAGAGUCAUGGGUUCAAGCCCCAGUUGAGCAA
This 56-nucleotide transfer RNA is filed under the name Podarcis lilfordi (Lilford's wall lizard). Its description in RNAcentral is "tRNA.Undet". The record is from RNAcentral. Lineage: Eukaryota; Metazoa; Chordata; Lepidosauria; Squamata; Lacertidae.